GUGUCAGCCGCCGCGGUAAUACGAGGGGAGCUAGCGUUGUUCGGAAUUACUGGGCGUAAAGGGCGCGUAGGCGGUCCUAUAAGUCAGAUGUGAAAGCCCCGGGCUUAACCUGGGAGGUGCAUUUGAAACUGUAGAACUUGAGAUCGAGAGAGGAAAGUGGAAUUACGAGUGUAGAGGUGAAAUUCGUAGAUAUUCGUAAGAACACCAGUGGCGAAGGCGACUUUCUGGCUCGAUACUGACGCUAAGGCGCGAAAGCGUGGGGAGCAAACAGGAUUAGAAACCCUCGUAGUCC
Molecule: ribosomal RNA, 292 nt
Filed under: uncultured bacterium
Lineage: Bacteria
Description: partial 16S ribosomal RNA
Rfam family: Bacterial small subunit ribosomal RNA
Source: RNAcentral